This 396-nucleotide long non-coding RNA is filed under the name Pelobates cultripes (western spadefoot toad). Lineage: Eukaryota; Metazoa; Chordata; Amphibia; Anura; Pelobatidae. The record is from RNAcentral.
CAUUGAUGCAGAGGUAUUCUUUGCAGCAUGAGAUGGUGCAUUCUCAUGCAUGAAGAUGAUUUUAUUACGGAAAGUAUAGCUCUUCCUUCUGUACCAAGGAAGAAAGUGGUCAGUCAGAAACUCCACAUACUUUGCAGAGGUCAUCUUUAUACCUUCGGGGAACCUAAAGGGGCCGACCAGCUCUCUUCCCAUGAUUCCGGCGCAAAGCAUGACUCCACCACCGCCUUGCUGACGUCGCAGCCUUGUUGGAACAGGGUGGCCGUCCACCAACCAUCCAGUACUUCAUCAAUCUGGACCAUCCAGGGUUGCACAGCACUCAACAGUGGAUAGGACUGUUUGAAAAUUAGUCUUCAUGUAUUUUUCUGCCCAAUGCAGCCAUUUCUGCUUGUGAGAAUU